RNAcentral lists this ribosomal RNA (253 nucleotides) under uncultured bacterium. RNAcentral describes it as "partial 16S ribosomal RNA". It matches the Rfam family "Bacterial small subunit ribosomal RNA", at positions 524 to 776 of the family's 1533-position model. The record is from RNAcentral.
UACGUAGGGGGCAAGCGUUGUCCGGAUUUAUUGGGCGUAAAGAGCGCGUAGGCGGCUUUGCAAGUCCGUUGUGAAAACUCGAGGCUCAACCUCGAGACGCCGGUGGAAACUGCAAAGCUAGAGUCCGGAAGAGGAGAGUGGAAUUCCUGGUGUAGCGGUGAAAUGCGCAGAUAUCAGGAAGAACACCCGUGGCGAAGGCGGCUCUCUGGGACGGUACUGACGCUGAGACGCGAAAGCGUGGGGAGCGAACAGG